This 2696-nucleotide long non-coding RNA is filed under the name Felis catus (domestic cat). RNAcentral describes it as "lncRNA (ENSFCAG00000047846.1)". Lineage: Eukaryota; Metazoa; Chordata; Mammalia; Carnivora; Felidae. The record is from RNAcentral.
CUGUUUUUGAACCGGCCGCUGCCCCAUCUCACCUGCCACCAUCUCUGCGGAAGGCUCUUCCGCUUAAAGGAAAAAGCGUGCCUGUGGCUGAGGGCCCCACGAUCGCCCGGCGAGGGAGUUUGCUGUGCGGCAUCUCAGACUGUCAGAGAAAAUCAGGUGGAGCUGGAGGGGGCAGUCAUGCCACGAAGGGACCACCAGGGAGGACACUUUGCUCCCCAUUCCAGGAGGGUUCUUUAGCCCUGGGCUUUCUUGUAAGCCACGCAGAGUCCAUUCAGACCCCCCAUUUUCCCUCCACUCUGUCAGCAAACAUUAGGGUGUUCACACGGUGGCCCGACCCAACACGGGGCCCUGGCGUGACUUCCAGCUGUCCCCUGCCCCAGGGGCUCACGGCCUGCUGGGUGCUGGACCUUGGGACCAGUCCCGGGUCGGAACGACACCCGGCAUCUCAGGGGGCUGUAAGUUAAGCCCGUUCUUACCCAACAAGAUGCUUCCAGAAGCAGAUGAACCGGUGGUUUCACAGUUCUUUUACGUAUAAACGAUGUCUCCUGAGCAAAGACAAGUGUGCACGCCCAGUAAUCCUGCAUCAUCCUUCACCCCUCCUGCCCCUGGGCCGGCUGGGAUUCUGGGGCCAGGCCAAGGGGCCCGCAGCACCAGGGCCAGGCGCACGGGGGGCCCUAAUUAGGGGAUUACACAAAGCCUGUGAGCCAGGCCACCGCAGGCCCCAACCCUGCGUCGGGACAGACUUAAUGGCCUGGGCUGGAGUCACCAGCAACAUAAAGUAGUCUUGUUCCCCGGUGAUUUUUACAAGGCGUUUAUGGACACGAGACAACUUCAGGACAGCACUCAGCUUAUGGGGCCGGGGGCCCAGACAAUGGGGGCAAAGAGGCAGGUCAACACAAGGACCCUGUGAUGAAGGCACAAAGGCGGGCAGAAUGAGGGGCAUUCACCCCCUGUGCAGGGACCGGGGCCCUCCCCCACCUGCUUACGUGCCUGAAGCCGGCUGAGCCCUGAGAGGGACCUUCCCCUCCACAGAUGGGGGCAGGGCCUCUGAGUUGCUGCCCCCCAACAGUGCCAAGGACCCUGUAAGUAUCUUCAGCUCCCACUGACCACCCUGUUUUGAGCAGUUCCCCUGCUUCAUAGUCAUUAAUUUGCCGUCCCAUCCUUGCUAUUCAAAGACGGCCGUAGCCAGGGUCGAGUGUGCGGGAGCUAGGCCCUUAUGUGAUGUGAUUCCAGCCCAAAGCAGAGAUGGCUGGCGCUUUGGUUCCACGGUCUCCAGUACCGGGGAGCUCUCCACAUUUUGCUUGUGAACAGCCACCGGUUACUGAGGACUUAACAUGUGUGAGACCCCCACGGCGGGGGCUUUGCAGGAAUGAUCUCAUGCAGGCCUCACGGCACCUUGGGAAGCAAGCUUCCGACCUCUUGUCACAGGUAAGGAAUCGGGUUCACAACAGCCCAAGAACACCUACCGGUAGGUGAUGGGCCCAGGACUCCAACGUGGAUCUGCAAAGGGUCAGGCUGGGCUCCUUCCACCCCCACGUUCACGGUCACCGCUCCUGAGAGGCAAGGGAGGCGCAAACAUCGGGAAGGAGAAGCCAGUUCCACCUGGCACAGUCAGAGAGGGCUUCCUGGAGGUGGCGACAUCUACAUCAGGCCUGGAAGGAUGAGUAGGGUUGCCUAAGAGAGAGAAACAAAGAGAAAACGGAGCGUGUGUAGGAGCCUGAGCCCCCCGGGCAGGAACCGAAGUAUCCUGCGACCACAGUGCACAGACCUGGAGCCUCUGAGAUUCGGGGUCCUGCCCCAUUGUCAUCAGUAACAGUAACAGCUACCGCGUAGGCAACACGAUAAAGCAUUGUUUUUAUGGCAUUAUAUUUUAUCGUCACAAAUACCCUUUGAGACAAGAGCUGUCCUUCUCCCCAGGAGACGGAGCUGUAGCGAGGCUGAGGAACCUGCCGGCUGUGCGGUCUCGGGCGGGGGCGGAGGCAGGUCUAGAACGUGGGUGGCACCACAGGCCGCGUCCACGCGCUCAGCCAACCCGCCGAGAGGCCGCCAACUGGGCCAGUUUGGGCGAGCGGGCAGAAACGGGUUGGAUUUGGAAGCCCUGGUUCCACUCUCUACACUCUGACGCUCACUACUCAACCCCGGGCAAGUGAAUUCGCCUCUGGGAGUCACCGUGAAAGCCCCCCCCUUCCUCCGCAGCCCCUCUCCUCCUGCCUCACAGGGUGGUGGGCAGAAUCGGAGAAGCCAGGCAGGUGCUUUGCUGGCUGUGGUUGGCCGAAUGAUGGCCCCAAAGCUGUCCAAUCCUAGUCCCCAGAAGUGCGACUAUGCCACUUUGCAUGGUAGAAGGGACUUUACAGAUGCAAUUAGGAAGGACGUAAAGACACGAGUCUAUCCUGGAUCACCUGGCAGGCCCAGUGGAGUCACAAAAGCCCUUGGAAGACAGAGGCAGCAGGCCCGAGUCAGAGAAGUGAUGACAGAAGCAGAGGUCACUGCCGGGCUUUGCAAACAGAGGAAGGGUCCGCCGUGCAAGGAAUAGAGGAGGCCUUGAGAUACUGGAACAGGCAAGGAAUAGGCUUCUGCCCUGGAGCCCCCAGCAGGACCUGCACCUUGACCUUAGCCCUAUGAGACUGAUUUUGGACUUCCGACCUCCAGACCUGUAAGAUAAUAAAUCUGUGUUGUGUUAAGCUACCGCUUAGUUA